GCCGGAGUGGUGAAACUGGUAGACGCGCUAGACUCAAAAUCUAGUAAGGGCGACCUUGUGUCGGUUCGAAUCCGACCUUCGGCACCA
This 87-nucleotide transfer RNA is filed under the name Helicobacter muridarum. Its description in RNAcentral is "tRNA-Leu". It matches the Rfam family "tRNA". From Rfam's summary of the family: Transfer RNA (tRNA) molecules are approximately 80 nucleotides in length. Their secondary structure includes four short double-helical elements and three loops (D, anti-codon, and T loops). Further hydrogen bonds mediate the characteristic L-shaped molecular structure. tRNAs have two regions of fundamental functional importance: the anti-codon, which is responsible for specific mRNA codon recognition, and the 3' end, to which the tRNAs corresponding amino acid is attached (by aminoacyl-tRNA synthetases). tRNAs cope with the degeneracy of the genetic code in two manners: having more than one tRNA (with a specific anti-codon) for a particular amino acid; and 'wobble' base-pairing, i.e. permitting non-standard base-pairing at the 3rd anti-codon position. Lineage: Bacteria; Pseudomonadati; Campylobacterota; Epsilonproteobacteria; Campylobacterales; Helicobacteraceae. The record is from RNAcentral.